RNAcentral lists this long non-coding RNA (1029 nucleotides) under Ananas comosus (pineapple). Its description in RNAcentral is "long non-coding RNA (ACOM_LNC015774)". The record is from RNAcentral. Lineage: Eukaryota; Viridiplantae; Streptophyta; Magnoliopsida; Poales; Bromeliaceae.
AUUUCUUUUUUUUGUCUUUUUUCAUUAACUUAAAUUUGUUCUUAUGGUAUCGUUUGGUUCGGGUAUAAGCAAGAACUAGCUAUUACAGUGAUAGGUACAAGUAUAGGGAUAAAAAAAAUAAUGUUUGGAUAAAAAUUGGGUUGUUUCCGAGGAUAAGAAUAAUUUUAGAUAGUUUUAUAUAGAAAAUAAAAAUGUUGGUGAGGAUAACCGAGAACUACUAUUCUCGCGUAAAAAAUUAGCGUUUGGAUAUAAAGGAAGGAUAAGGACAUAUUUCUAUCUCUAUCCCCUAACCAAACGCUGCAGAGCAGUUAGGCGAUUGAGAGGGUGGGGGCUAGUAGGGAAGACAAGAGGACAAACAUCCUGACCCCCCUCCCUAUCUGCAACUUUGUUUUACAUCAUUAUGUUUUGCGCAAAACAUAAAAAUAUAUUUAGCUAUUAGUUACUAUGUUUUAAUAAAUUAUUAUCAUGAUAAUUUUUUGUUUGGCUCUUCUCAAAUUUAAAUUCUAGCUUCGUUUCUGACUGUACUUAACUAUAAUGAAAUAUUUUUUAAAUUGCUAUUAGUUACUAAGUUUUAAUAAAUUAUUAUCAUGAUAAUUUUUUGUUUCGCUUAUAAAAUAGUAUUCUAUUUAGGCUAAAUUAUAGAAAACUUUUUAUAAAUAUUUAUUUUUUUAUUUUUAUUUUCUCACUUUCAAAAAUUUAUAUUUUUGCCCUCUUAAUAUUUCAGAAAUAUUUUCAGGAGUACGGUGUUAAUAGAAGGGGCAAAAUAACUAAAUUACUCAUACUUUUUCUAUAAGAAAAAACAUAUUUUUUUAAUAUAUUUCUAUCAUUUUGAAAGAUAUUUUCGGUAUAAAUUACAAAAAAAUAAACGAAAUAGUGAUGAAAUCCUGACGGAGGGGAAUAAAUACAAAAACUUAAAAAUUUAAAGAGGCAAAAUAUAAAUUUUUGAAAGUAAUGAAGAAAAAAUAAAAAAGAGAAUAUUUACAGAAAAAUUUCUGUAAUUUAGCAUUCUAUUUAAUAAUAAAUUUUUUC